AGUGAACGCUGGCGGUAGGCCUAACACAUGCAAGUCGAACGGCAGCACAGUAAGAGCUUGCUCUUACGGGUGGCGAGUGGCGGACGGGUGAGGAAUACAUCGGAAUCUACUUUUUCGUGGGGGAUAACGUAGGGAAACUUACGCUAAUACCGCAUACGACCUACGGGUGAAAGCAGGGGAUCUUCGGACCUUUCGCGAUUGAAUGAGCCGAUGUCGGAUUAGCUAGUUGGCGGGGUAAAGGCCCACCAAGGCGACGAUCCGUAGCUGGUCUGAGAGGAUGAUCAGCCACACUGGAACUGAGACACGGUCCAGACUCCUACGGGAGGCAGCAGUGGGGAAUAUUGGACAAUGGGCGCAAGCCUGAUCCAGCCAUACCGAGUGGGUGAAGAAGGCCUUCGGGUUGUAAAGCCCUUUUGUUGGGAAAGAAAAGCAGCAGGUUAAUACCCCGCUGUUCUGACGGUACCCAAAGAAUAAGCACCGGCUAACUUCGUG
RNAcentral lists this ribosomal RNA (492 nucleotides) under uncultured bacterium. Its description in RNAcentral is "partial 16S ribosomal RNA". It matches the Rfam family "Bacterial small subunit ribosomal RNA", at positions 29 to 507 of the family's 1533-position model. The record is from RNAcentral.